RNAcentral lists this ribosomal RNA (465 nucleotides) under uncultured bacterium. Its description in RNAcentral is "partial 16S ribosomal RNA". It matches the Rfam family "Bacterial small subunit ribosomal RNA", at positions 28 to 506 of the family's 1533-position model. The record is from RNAcentral.
GUUGAACGCUGGCGGCGUGCUUAACACAUGCAAGUCGAACGAUGACGCCCAGCUUGCUGGGUGGAUUUGUGGCGAACGGGUGAGUAACCCGUGAGUAACUUGCCCUUAACUCUGGCCUGAGCCUGGACCUCAGGAGCUAAUCCUGUAUAUAGCUUCUCAUCGCAUGGUGGGGGGUGGGACGUUUUAUUGCUGUUGGAUGGUGUCGCGGCCUAUCAGCAUGUUGGUGAGGUACGGGCGCACGAAGGCGCGGAGGGGUAGCCGUCCUGAGAGGGUGACGGGCCACAGAGGGACUGAGACACGGCCCAGGGGCCAACGGGAGGCAGCAGUGGGGAACAGUGCACAAUGGGCGCAAGGCUGAUGCAGCGACGCCGCGUGGGGGAUGAUGGCCGUCGGGUUGUAAACGUCUUUCAGUAGGGAAGACGCGUGAGUGACGGUACCUGCAGAAGAAGCGCCGGCUAACUACUU